UCGAAGGUAGCAUAAUCAGUAGUCUUUUAAUUGAAGGCUGGUAUGAAUGGUUGGAUGAAAUAUUAACUGUUUCAUUUAAAUUUUUUAUGGAAUUUUAUUUUUUAGUUAAAAAGCUAAAAUAUUAUUAAAAGACGAGAAGACCCUAUAAAUCUUUAUAUUUUAUUUUUAUUAAUUAUUUAGAUAUUUUUAAUUAUUAAAAGUUAAAAUAUUAUAUUGGGGUGAUAUUAAAAUUUAAUAAACUUUUAAUUAGUAAUAACAUAAAUUUAUGAAUUUUUGAUCCAUUAUUAAUGAUUAGAAAUUUAAGUUACUUUAGGGAUAACAGCGUAAUUUUUUUGGAGAGUUCAUAUCGAUAAAAAAGAUUGCGACCUCGAUGUUGGAUUAA
This 382-nucleotide ribosomal RNA is filed under the name Anthomyza dichroa. RNAcentral describes it as "partial 16S large subunit ribosomal RNA". Lineage: Eukaryota; Metazoa; Arthropoda; Insecta; Diptera; Anthomyzidae. The record is from RNAcentral.